AUGCCAGACAGUGUAGUUGCAUUCCUUUUGGAACACUUGUCCCAAUUGCUGCAACGCGAAUCUAAUUUGUUGUGUGGAGUCGAAGACAGAAUCAUAUCCCUCCGCAACGAACUUGAAAUCAUAAGCGUAUACCUCAAAACGUCAUCUGAAGGGAAGAACAAUAACAACAAACAGAUUGAACAAAAGGUUCUUAGUCGGAUCAGAGAUGUCUCUCACAUAGCCGAGGUCAGAUCUUAA
Non-coding RNA from Vicia faba (fava bean), 237 nucleotides. NCBI's taxonomy places the organism in Eukaryota, Viridiplantae, Streptophyta, Magnoliopsida, Fabales, Fabaceae. The record is from the annotation of a GenBank genome assembly.